AAGGUGCUGCAUGGUUGUCGUCAGCUCGUGCCGUGAGGUGUCGGGUUAAGUCCCAUAACGAGCGCAACCCCUACUGCUAGUUGCCAGCGGGUCAUGCCGGGGACUCUAGCGGAACUGCCAGCGUAAGCUGCGAGGAAGGUGGGGAUGACGUCAAAUCAGCACGGCCCUUACGUCCAGGGCUACACACGUGUUACAAUGGCCAGUACAGAGGGCAGCCACCCCGCGAGGGGGCGCUAAUCCUAAAAGCUGGUCCCAGUUCGGAUCGGAGUCUGCAACCCGACUCCGUGAAGCUGGAUUCGCUAGUAAUCGCGCAUCAGCCACGGCGCGGUGAAUACGUUCCCGGGCCUU
Molecule: ribosomal RNA, 348 nt
Filed under: uncultured Rikenellaceae bacterium
Lineage: Bacteria; Pseudomonadati; Bacteroidota; Bacteroidia; Bacteroidales; Rikenellaceae
Description: bacterial SSU rRNA
Rfam family: Bacterial small subunit ribosomal RNA
Source: RNAcentral